GACGAACGCUGGCGGCGUGCUUAACACAUGCAAGUCGAACGGGAUAAUUUGAGAGCUUGCUCUUAGAGAAUCUAGUGGCAAACGGGUGAGUAACACGUAGACAACCUGCCGACAGGAUGGGGACAACAUUCCGAAAGGAAUGCUAAUACCGAAUGAAGUCGAGGGAGGGCAUCCUCUCUCGAUGAAAGAUGGCCUCUGAAUAUGCUAUCACCUGUCGAUGGGUCUGCGUCUGAUUAGCUAGUUGGUGAGGUAACGGCUCACCAAGGCGACGAUCAGUAGCCGGUCUGAGAGGAUGAACGGCCACAUUGGGACUGAGACACGGCCCAGACUCCUACGGGAGGCAGCAGUGGGGAAUCUUCCGCAAUGGGCGCAAGCCUGACGGAGCAACGCCGCGUGAGUGAAGAAGGUCUUCGGAUCGUAAAGCUCUGUUGAUGGGGACGAACGUGCGAAGGGUGAAUAAUCCUUUGCAAUGACGGUACCUAUCGAGGAAGCCAC
RNAcentral lists this ribosomal RNA (495 nucleotides) under Selenomonas sp. oral taxon 126. RNAcentral describes it as "bacterial SSU rRNA". It matches the Rfam family "Bacterial small subunit ribosomal RNA", at positions 28 to 494 of the family's 1533-position model. The record is from RNAcentral. Lineage: Bacteria; Bacillati; Bacillota; Negativicutes; Selenomonadales; Selenomonadaceae.